AACGCGAAGAACCUUACCUGGGCUUGACAUGUUUGGAAAAGCAGCAGAGAUGUUGCGUCCGCAAGGGCCAAUCACAGGUGGUGCAUGGCUGUCGUCAGCUCGUGUCGUGAGAUGUUGGGUUAAGUCCCGCAACGAGCGCAACCCUUGUUCCAUGUUGCCAGCAGGUAAAGCUGGGGACUCAUGGAAGACCGCCGGGGUCAACUCGGAGGAAGGUGGGGAUGACGUCAAGUCCUCAUGCCCCUUAUGUCCAGGGCUGCAAACACGCUACAAUGGCCGGUACAAAGAGAUGCUAGAACGCGAGUUCAUGCCAAUCUCAUAAAGCCGGUCUCAGUUCGGAUUGAAGUCUGCAACUCGACUUCAUGAAGCUGGAGUUGCUAGUAAUCCCGGAUCAGCACGCCGGGGUGAAUACGUUCCCGGGUCUUGUACACACCG
Molecule: ribosomal RNA, 432 nt
Filed under: uncultured bacterium
Lineage: Bacteria
Description: bacterial SSU rRNA
Rfam family: Bacterial small subunit ribosomal RNA
Source: RNAcentral